UACGUAGGGUGCAAGCGUUGUCCGGAAUUAUUGGGCGUAAAGAGCUCGUAGGCGGUUUGUCGCGUCUGCUGUGAAAACUCAGGGCUUAACCCUGAGCUUGCAGUGGGUACGGGCAGACUAGAGUGCGGUAGGGGAGGCUGGAAUUCCUGGUGUAGCGGUGAAAUGCGCAGAUAUCAGGAGGAACACCGGUGGCGAAGGCGGGUCUCUGGGCCGUAACUGACGCUGAGGAGCGAAAGCAUGGGGAGCGAACAGG
This 253-nucleotide ribosomal RNA is filed under the name uncultured bacterium. Its description in RNAcentral is "partial 16S ribosomal RNA". It matches the Rfam family "Bacterial small subunit ribosomal RNA", at positions 524 to 776 of the family's 1533-position model. The record is from RNAcentral.